GUCAUGCUGCUGUGCUUGGCGGGCAGUCUGAUCUACGUGGAGCCAUAUCGUGAUAACUACGACAUCUCGCAGGAAUCACUAGAAGACUAUUUCGAUGUUAACCCGUACGAGAGGUUCGACUACGACUGGUCGAUUCGGUACGACCUUGUCUCGGGUGACGUCAACCAAGAGGAACCACGCGAAGAAGCCUCAGCUGAGCGGAUAAAUGAGCCUUCUAGAGGGUCGUACGUCGUGCAGCUUCCCGACCGACGCAUCCAGACGGUCACUUAUUACUACGACACCAAACUUGGAUACAUAGCGGAGGUUUCGUACGAAAUUGAACCCGAGAUUAAUAAAAUAUAACGUUGUCCUUGAUUGUACAAGGGGCCCUCACAACUCGUGGGGGCCCUUGGUGCACGCCGGAUUUCCCCCUAAUUCUAUAGCUGGGAAUUUAAAUGCUGCAGAUGCUAUUUUCCUCCUUGAUGUCCUGGGGAAAGCCUUUGGAAGGCCGUGAGAGGGUCAGUCGGUUUCUUCCAUGGCUUUUUAGAACCUCGGGUGCCCUCAGUUACUAGCUCUCGGGAUGCUAGUAAAGGUAAUUAGGCUUAACGAGCCAAAUGCAGCAAUUAUGUUGUCAGGCGAUAAGAUGACGGCGAUAAUUAUACCCCAUUAUAGAGUGUAACAUGAAGUAAGAUUAGCGUAUACCCAUACACACACACGCACGCCAUACAAGCAAUUUAAGCGUUAAAAAAAUUAACACGUAAUCCAUUUACUUCUGAAGUACCGCCACUUUACACCUUUUAUUUCCCGAUCAUAACCAGUAUUUCAGGUUUAUAUUUCAGGUUCUGAUUCAGGAAAUCUUUCCAGUUAUAAGUACUUGAUAAUUUAGCCGGCCUACAUUCACUCAUGCACAGUAGUUCAGUUAAUGAUAGUACAUCUGAAUUAGAAUAGUCUUAGCCUGUGAUAAUGUGUACAGAGUAGAGUAACAUUAGUCUGUGAUAAUCCACGAUGAAAGAUAGAUGAAGAAAUAAGGGCAACGAAUGUGUGAAAGAUUUUGUUCGAAUGAAAGGACCGAAGCCGGUUUCAGAAUGCGUGGAAGCAGCGAGUGUUGUAAUUGUGAAUGAAAGGAAGGGAAGAACAGGAUGAGGCAAUGAUGUUUUUUAAUCAGUAUUCAAAAUGUAAUAUUAGUGAGGUAAACUAUGAUGAAUUAUGUGGAAAGCAUAUAUAUUUUUUCUAGAAGUGAAGCAGUCAGCGCUGAUUUCACUUACAAAGACAUCUCCACACUUAAGCCAAACAAAGCCCUCUAACUGAUGUUAUUUCAAAAGCAAUUCAAAGGGAAUUGCCCUGGAGACACGGCGAUGGAGGGCAGUGAGUGGCGCCGCGGAUCACGCGACACAAGCCUCGGGGCAUCCUCGACAUUCUGAGGGCAUCAUUAAUGCGACUUCAAGCACAGAAAGCACGGAAGGCACACGCGGCCCGUCUCGCCGAACCCUUGAACAAACCUGUUCUAGGAGACGGACGCAGGAGGUCAGACAUGUUAAAAGCAGAAGGAAAAAGAAAUUAUGCUUUCACUUGUGUGUUGUUGUGUUUUUUAUGCAAGUACUUCUGCUUGCUUCUACGCACUCGUCCAGGCGCCGGUUGCAAGAUGUGUAAAGGGCCUUUCUAAGUCAUUUGUGUGGAUAAUAAUGUAAAGUUGUCUUCAUUUAAUGAAUAUACAAGAGUCAUUUACUUCCUACUUUGUUAAAUGUUAUGUCACCUCAUGUCUGUUGGUUUCUCGUAUUUCUUUGUAAAUAAUCAAAUAAAUGGAACAUUUUUAUAAUAAAUGAAAUCAUCCAAAGAUCUA
Long non-coding RNA from Penaeus chinensis, 1819 nucleotides. RefSeq lists it as uncharacterized. The transcript is spliced from 2 exons. NCBI's taxonomy places the organism in Eukaryota, Metazoa, Arthropoda, Malacostraca, Decapoda, Penaeidae. The record is from RefSeq and is a predicted model, not a curated record.